Molecule: non-coding RNA, 551 nt
Organism: Phasianus colchicus (ring-necked pheasant)
Lineage: Eukaryota; Metazoa; Chordata; Aves; Galliformes; Phasianidae
Source: RefSeq, a predicted model, not a curated record
UAGUAUAACGAUUGCUGCCAAUGAAGCUAAAGACAAUGUAAGAUAUCUGUAUACAUUGGAUAAAUUUUUUGCUCUACUGGCCAAAGCUUCUCCUGUUACAGUGGUGGAACACAUACCCAGUUUAAUGAAUGCAGUCUGUAUGAUCUACUGUACAUCACCGCACUACAACACAUCAGAGUGCAUGACAUCUCUUCUUCUUAAAAUCACUAAUCAAAUGAUUAACAUGUGCAAGGCGUAUCUACGUGAAGGUGUUUCUAAAAUCUGGGAUCUGGACAGGUAGAACUAUUGGUAUAGCAAACACCCAUGCAUUAGAGCAAAUAUUAAGCAUGUAUUAAACCACAGAGGAGGGUAAAAAUGAACAUGACAUCUCAAGUUAGCAGCUGGAAAAGUGAUGAUUAAAACUAUCUCUUGAAAACUCAAUCAAGAUUAUGGUUACUGAGGUGAGAAGAAAGAGAUGCUACAAACUUCAUCAAUGCAUAGGUAGUCAAGAUGUAUGUAGUUGUGUAACCAACUCAAAGAAGACACUAAGGUAACAGGCUGGGAGACAAAAA